AGAGUUUGAUCCUGGCUCAGGAUGAACGCUGGCGGCGUGCUUAACACAUGCAAGUCGAGCGAAGCACUCUGUCUGAUUUCUUCGGAUUGAAGACAGUUUGA
This 101-nucleotide ribosomal RNA is filed under the name uncultured bacterium. RNAcentral's name for it is "partial 16S ribosomal RNA". The record is from RNAcentral.